UACGGGGGGAGCAAGCGUUGUUCGGAUUUACUGGGCGUAAAGGGCGCGUAGGCGGCCACGGGAGGUCGGCUGGGAAAUCUCUGGGCUUAACCCAGAAAGGUCAACCGAUACUGCGGGGCUAGAGUGCAGAAGGGGCAACUGGAAUUCUCGGUGUAGCGGUGAAAUGCGUAGAUAUCGAGAGGAACACCUGCGGCGAAGGCGGGUUGCUGGGCUGACACUGACGCUGAAGCGCGAAAGCUAGGGGAGCGAACGGG
RNAcentral lists this ribosomal RNA (254 nucleotides) under uncultured bacterium. RNAcentral describes it as "partial 16S ribosomal RNA". It matches the Rfam family "Bacterial small subunit ribosomal RNA", at positions 524 to 776 of the family's 1533-position model. The record is from RNAcentral.